CGGCCCAAUGUUCCAUUGGUCGAACCUGUGCUGCCUCGUGAGGAGGAGUUGGAUGAGGGAGACUUGUUUGUUUUGGUGUCAGAAGCACCACAGGUUAUUAGUAGGCAAGCAUCUCAAGAGAUUCCUCCCCCCCCUGUCCCUCAGGAUGCUGGUGAGGCUCAGGGAGCAGAAGAUAUUACAGAGAUGAUAGCUGAUUUGCAGCCUGUAAGGAACCCUCCAUUAGGUUCAGUGGUGAUGGGUGAGAGUGUAGUGCGUAGGACGGGACGGAGUACGGCUGGGCAGCAUUCUAAUGUACAUCAUCUGCCACGGUCACUUGGUGUAGGCAUAGUGUCCAGUAUAGUUGGUAGUGCAGCGGAGGUAUGGUUUCGUCCUUGGGAUUGAAGGGCCUAGAGGGCAUGUUUUUUUUUUUUUUUUUUAUUAGUUCACCGUCGGGGCGACGGUACAGAAGGUGGGGGUGGAUUGUGACCGAUCGUAUUGGAUAAGUGAUGGUGACUGACAUUUGUAACAGCCAAUCAGCAGUAAGUGUGACCUAUUUUAGAGCAGGUUGGCUUUGUUGGGUCAUGCGUCACCUCCGGCCCCGCCUUUUUGGUUUUUUGUUAUGUUGACUUGUGUUUUAGGUAUGUGUUAGCAGUUAGCUCUUCGUUUGUCUCUUUUAUAAUGUUGUGGACUAAUCGUUUGUUAUUUCAUUCUAGCCUGUCUUUUCCUUUGUUUUCUGUCGAUGGCCAUGAGUUUAAUGACUGCUGUUUAUUCAGCUUGUUAUUGGUAUUACUGAGGAUGCCGAAUCCCAAUUUGUGAAUGCGUGCGAGCAUACUUUUUCCGGUUUGGAGCUGGGGUUCCACGGGUGCAGGAGCUUGAGGUGGUGGUGUCACUUCAUCAUUUGCUGUGGACACGUUUGUGUGUGUCGUGUGUGUGUGUGUGGAGGUGUAAGUGUGCUUUUGGCUAAAUUCAGCACUGGUGAUCACUCCCGUGGGUGACCUCAGCCCUUUACCAUUGGAGAGUGCUGCCGGCAGUAGGUGAUGAGGAUUCAAUGUGACUUUUAAAUGGAGCUGGGGUUCCACGGGUGCAGGAGCUUGAGGUGGUGGUGUCACUUCAUCAUUUGCUGUGGACACGUUUGUGUGUGCAGUGAGUGUGUCGGGGUGUGUGUGUGUGUGUGGAGGUGUAAGUGUGCUUUUGGCUAAAUUCAGCACUGGUGAUCACUCCCGUGGGUGACCUCAGCCCUUUACCAUUGGAGAGUGCUGCCGGCAGUAGGUGAUGAGGAUUCAAUGUGACUUUUAAAUGGUGAAACAAUUGUGAAAAUAAAUUUUGUACUUUCAUGCUUUA
This is a long non-coding RNA of Puntigrus tetrazona (Sumatra barb), 1320 nucleotides long. RefSeq lists it as uncharacterized. NCBI's taxonomy places the organism in Eukaryota, Metazoa, Chordata, Actinopteri, Cypriniformes, Cyprinidae. The transcript is spliced from 6 exons. The record is from RefSeq and is a predicted model, not a curated record.